UUCGAACCUUNAGANAUGAGGGGAGUGCCUUCGGGGAAUUCACAUACAGGUGCUGCAUGGGUGUCGUCAGCUCGUGUCGUGAGGAUGUUGGGUUNAGUCCCGCAACGAGCGCAACCCUUUUNCUUAUUUGCCAGCCGGUUAAGCCGGGAACUUUAAGGGAUACUGCCAGNGACAAACUGGAGGAAGGCGGGGACGACGUCAAGUNAUCNUGGCCCUUACGACCAGGGCUACACACGUGCUACAAUGGUAGGUACAGAGGGUUGCUACACAGCGAUGUGAUGCUAAUCUCAAAAAGCCUAUCGUAGUCCGGAUUGGAGUCUGCAACUCGACUCCAUGAAGUCGGAAUCGCUAGUAAUCGCAGAUCAGAAUGCUGCGGUGAAUACGUUCCCGGGCCUUGUACACCCGAAA
RNAcentral lists this ribosomal RNA (408 nucleotides) under Moraxella sp. B1. Its description in RNAcentral is "bacterial SSU rRNA". It matches the Rfam family "Bacterial small subunit ribosomal RNA", at positions 992 to 1387 of the family's 1533-position model. Lineage: Bacteria; Pseudomonadati; Pseudomonadota; Gammaproteobacteria; Moraxellales; Moraxellaceae. The record is from RNAcentral.